GACGAACGCUGGCGGCGUGGAUAAGACAUGCAAGUCGAACGCUUGUCGCUUGAGUAGCAAUAUUCGAGCGGCAGGAGUGGCGCAAGGGUGCGUAACACGUGGAUCAUCUGCCUGGAAGUCUGGAAUAAUUCGGCGAAAGCCGGACUAAUGCCGGAUGUGGUUGGAAGACUAAAGCUGGGGACCGCAAGGCCUGGCGCUUCCAGAUGAGUCCGCGGCCUAUCAGCUAGUUGGCGGGUAACGGCCGACCAAGGCUAAGACGGGUAGGCUGGUCUGAGAGGACGACCAGCCUCACUGGAACUGAGACACGGUCCAGACACCUACGGGUGGCAGCAGUCGAGAAUUUUUCUUCAAUGGGGAAACCCGUGAAGGAGCGACGCCGCGUGAGGGAUGAA
Molecule: ribosomal RNA, 392 nt
Filed under: uncultured bacterium
Lineage: Bacteria
Description: bacterial SSU rRNA
Rfam family: Bacterial small subunit ribosomal RNA
Source: RNAcentral